RNAcentral lists this ribosomal RNA (172 nucleotides) under Euproctis similis. Its description in RNAcentral is "partial large subunit ribosomal RNA". The record is from RNAcentral. Lineage: Eukaryota; Metazoa; Arthropoda; Insecta; Lepidoptera; Erebidae.
UUUUAAUUUAAAUUUAUAAGUUUAUUUAAAUUAAAAAUUGAAAUUUUAAUUAAAAUUUUGUUGGGGUGAUAGAAAAAUUUAAUAAACUUUUUUUUAUAAAUUACAUAGAUAAGUGAUUAUUUGAUCCAUUUUUAUUGGUUAUAAGAUUAAAUUACCUUAGGGAUAACAGCGU